UACGGAGGGUGCGAGCGUUAAUCGGAAUUACUGGGCGUAAAGAGCACGUAGGUGGUUUGGUAAGUCGGAUGUGAAAGCCCCGGGCAUUAACCCUGGGAAUUGCAUUCGAAACUGCCUCACUAGAGUCUAGCAGAGGGAUGCGGAAUUCCGGGGUGUAGCGGUGAAAUGCGGUAGAAGAUCCGGAGGAACAUCAGU
This 195-nucleotide ribosomal RNA is filed under the name uncultured bacterium. Its description in RNAcentral is "partial 16S ribosomal RNA". It matches the Rfam family "Bacterial small subunit ribosomal RNA", at positions 524 to 713 of the family's 1533-position model. The record is from RNAcentral.